UACGUAGGCAGCAAGCGUUGUUCGGAGUUACUGGGCGUAAAGGGUGUGUAGGCGGUUGUUUAAGGUUGGUGUGAAAUCUCCCGGCUCAACUGGGAGGGUGCGCCGAAUACUGAAUGACUAGAGUGCGGGAGAGGUGAGUGGAAUUCCUGGUGUAGCGGUGAAAUGCGUAGAUAUCAGGAGGAACACCGGUGGUGUAGACGGCUCACUGGACCGUAACUGACGCUGAGACACGAAAGCGUGGGUAGCAAACAGG
This 253-nucleotide ribosomal RNA is filed under the name uncultured bacterium. Its description in RNAcentral is "partial 16S ribosomal RNA". It matches the Rfam family "Bacterial small subunit ribosomal RNA", at positions 524 to 776 of the family's 1533-position model. The record is from RNAcentral.